AGUGAACUAGCUAACUGAAACUUAAUUUUAAAAUUAAGAUAAGGUAAGAGAAAAUAAUGAUAUUAUCUUACUAUUAGUGUCGUCUAAAUUUGGUGCCAGAAGACUCGGUAAGACCUUAGACGCAAACGUUAAUCGUCAUAAUCAGGCGUAAAGGGUGUGUAGGCGGCUUUAAAGAAUAUAAUUAUAUUCUAAUUAAAGCUAGAAUCUAAAAGAGGGUAAGCUAAACAACAUAAUUAAUUAGGACUGGCAACUUAUAAUAAUGUGGAGUACUAAAGGUAAAGCUAUUUAUCUACUUAAGAUUGACGCUCAAGAAACGAAGGGGAGAAUAAGAAACUUAGAUUAGAGACCUAAUUAUCUCUCUCAGUCAACGAUGAAUGGAGUUAUUAAAAUUAAAUAUAUAUCAAAUAAUAUAAUUAUUAGUAACGAGGUUAACACGAUGACCAUUCCGCCUUGUUAGUAAGACUGCAAAGUUGAAAACAAAAAAUUAUCCGGUCUUGANGCAAACGAANUGAAGCAUGUUAUUUAAUCGAUAAU
This 534-nucleotide ribosomal RNA is filed under the name Boletus edulis. Its description in RNAcentral is "partial small subunit ribosomal RNA". It matches the Rfam family "Bacterial small subunit ribosomal RNA", at positions 404 to 958 of the family's 1533-position model. The record is from RNAcentral. Lineage: Eukaryota; Fungi; Basidiomycota; Agaricomycetes; Boletales; Boletaceae.